UUUAAGUACAAAUUUGAGGUACUUGUACUUUAGUUGAGUAUUUCCAUUUUUUGCAACGUUAUAAUUCAGCUUCGCUACAUCUCAGACGCAAAUGUUGUACUUUUUACUCCACCACAUUUGUCUGACAGCUUUACUUUAGUUACUUUUCAGAUUACAAUUUGUCAUACCCUUCCUGUCCUGUGAAAAACCAUGCAUCUCCAAAUGUGCUGAUUUGGAAUGUUUGUGAUAAACUGAAGGAUGAAGUGUUCCUUCAUGUGUUGAGAAAAUUCUCCUCCUUCUUAAGCUCAAUCAACUAUUUAAAAACCC
Long non-coding RNA from Sander lucioperca (pikeperch), 306 nucleotides. RefSeq lists it as uncharacterized. The record is from RefSeq and is a predicted model, not a curated record. The transcript has 2 exons. Lineage: Eukaryota; Metazoa; Chordata; Actinopteri; Perciformes; Percidae.